UCUAUGCUACCUACUUUUUUUUAUUAAUAAAUUGUAUUUGCUUAUAAAAGGUAAAUAAGUAUUCUGUGGCCAACAUCCCCACUGUUCUUUGCUUGACAUGCAAUAUGGAUAUAAGCAUUGAUGAAGAAUCGAAUGUAAAACAACAGCGUUUUCAUGUUCCAAAAUAUUAUACUGGCAAGAAAUGAGAAAAUGGUACAAAGCAAUUAAAAGAAAUGUUUCCUAAUGUGGAAGAAAAACAGCUCCUUGAAACUCUUAGAACGAAUAAUUAUUCCUAUGAAGAUGCAAUUUCCAAACUUCUGGGCUCAAAUGAUGAAGAUACAUUGUCAACAGCAUCAGAUGACACAACAAUUGAUCAUGACUUGUUUAAUUACACAAAAAAAGUUGAUGAAGAAAACAUGAAAAUCCUGUUUCUUGACCUAGAGUAUAUUUGGCAACGAUCGUUUGUUUUUACAAGACCAUCUCUGAUGAAGACUUAUUUCGUCUUUUAAGCAUAUCUUUUGAAGGGUAUGAAGAUGCUAUAGAUGCUGGUGGUAUAAGGAUUGAGUUCUUUAGUGACUUAAUCAGAACCAUAGAUAACUUGCUAUUUGAAGGAAAACCUAGAAACCGCAUUCCCAUACACAGCCGGGACAAGAUAUACUUGCUACAAAUGGCAGGGCUCGUGAUUGGACAUUCAAUCCUGCAAGAAGGCCCGGAUAUGCCAACUCUAGCCUAAUAUGUAUACAAGUUCAUUGUUAGUGGUGACAAAGAAAAGUCAUUGGCAGCGAUAACAUCUAAAGAUCUUCCU
Xenia sp. Carnegie-2017 is the source of this 784-nucleotide long non-coding RNA. RefSeq lists it as uncharacterized. Lineage: Eukaryota; Metazoa; Cnidaria; Anthozoa; Malacalcyonacea; Xeniidae. The record is from RefSeq and is a predicted model, not a curated record. The transcript has 3 exons.